RNAcentral lists this ribosomal RNA (253 nucleotides) under uncultured bacterium. RNAcentral's name for it is "partial 16S ribosomal RNA". It matches the Rfam family "Bacterial small subunit ribosomal RNA", at positions 524 to 776 of the family's 1533-position model. The record is from RNAcentral.
UACGGAGGGUGCAAGCGCUAUCCGGAUUCACUGGGUUUAAAGGGUGCGUAGGCGGGUAAGUAAGUCCGUGGUGAAAUCUCUGAGCUUAACUCAGAAACUGCCGUGGAUACUAUUUGCCUUGAAUAUUGUGGAGGUGAGCGGAAUAUGUCAUGUAGCGGUGAAAUGCUUAGAUAUGACAUAGAACACCAAUUGCGAAGGCAGCUCACUACACAAUCAUUGACGCUGAGGCACGAAAGCGUGGGGAUCAAACAGG